UGUGUUAUUCAAACAGUGUCAGCCAGAAGGAACUCCAUCUAACUUCAUUCUGUCAUGGCACGGUGCCCAAUAGAUUCCAGCCCCCUGAUUAAAUAGGGGACCACUGUGGUGAUUGGUUAGUCACUUGUGCCAUAUGAGGUCAUUUUGAACUAGGGUGAACUUAGGGGUAGCUGUCAGCUUUCUUGGCAGUUAUUUCUUAGAAUGGGCAGAGAUGGCCUGUAUCCCUGAGAGAUGGAUGUUGGAAAAGGAUCAUUUUCUCUCUCUCUAUGUGCACUCACUGGGUCUCUUCACACUGCUUGGAGGAUUCUCUUGGGAUGUGUUGUGGAUGGUACAUGCCAGGUGACAUGGCUGGGAAUUAUGCUAUUUUUAUACUGUUCUUGAAUUACACUCUUUACUGCGGGGUUCAGAGUCACACAACCAGAAUUUGGCAUAGAGAAUAUAGGACAAUUUUUUUGUCAGGCAUUUAAGAUUUUUGUGCUGUGUAUAUGCACAUAAACACACACACACAUGCACAUACAUUUGGGCAUGCAAGUCUGGAUCAUGCCUAGCAACUGCAACUUCAAUGAUGGGGAUGCUUGGAUAUCACCAGGUUGGGUGCAUUUUACCGUUGACCUAGUUUACGGAAAGAUGAAUUACUGAGGAGUAGCUGACUCCAUCAAUGGGUUAAUGAUUCUCCAUGCUAUUCUUUUCUGAAAAGGCUUAUUUAAAUGUUUAUCAGUUGUGCAAAGUGGAGCACGCUGGCGAUUCGCAAGGGAUGGCUCAUCAUUGCCUAUGCAUGGAAGCGUUGUAGGAAGAUUAAAAUAACAUUGAGUAUAUUCUGUAAAUGAAGGCAAGAACUAACAGAAGCCUCUAGAGCCCAUUAUAAAUUUUAAUAAUACAUCAAGGUAAUGUAACUGAAUAACCGAUCUCUAAGGGAAGAAACACAACAUUUGGCUAAUAUUACAAUUUAAAUUAUGAAAACAAAAAGAGCUUUUAGUUAAUCUUGUCUUUCUGCUUUUAUUCUUCAGGCUCUUUUUUAUUUUCCCUGAAUCCAAAACACCAUGUAAACAAAUAAAAGUACGGGGGAAAAUAAACAGUUUGGCAUCUCAGUAGAUUAAUUAAUGCGCUUCAGCCUUGGCACCAGUAGGCGGAAAUUAUGUGCAUAAAUAAUAUCACUAAUUAAAAAGAUGCAGAUUAACAUGCAAAUAAUGUUAAUGAGGGUCUGCAAUUCCAGAGUGGAUUCGCAUAACAUCAACAAUUUAAUGGGUUGGAAGGCUUGUGUUUGCAUUACAUUAAUAAAUUUCAAAGACCUCGCAUAAAAAAGUUCUGUCAGAGCCUCUGUUUCCCACUUGCGAGUUGUAAAUUCUGUGGGCAGUAGCAAGCACUCAUCGGCAGAUGCCAAAGUCAUUAUCUCAAAGACUGUUGAGAGGGUGCCACGCGCCAGCGUGACCAGCUGCUGGGCACUGGGCGGUAGGCUCUAUUCCGUGCCAAUUAUUCAUAUUAUUUGGGUAGUCUUGAUAUUUAUUUAAACUGAUUAAUAUUUUGCACUCUGCAUCUUGAUCUAGAGGGAAAUCAUUUUAAGCAAGCAAAGUUAAAAAACCAACAACAACAAAAAAAAAACCGUUAUCUGCCUUUGAUGUGCGGUGGAAGUUGACUCACAGUGAAGCUGAUUGAGCAGACAGAAUUAUGAUCCACGGACAACGGCAGCAUAAAGUGUCCCUAACGAUGUCAUAUAAUAUUGAAAUAAAGUAUUACGGCGCCGCAUGCUAAGUGGACCAUAAUCUGUGGAGCUCCAUUUAAAAACAAAGGGCCCUGUGUAGUGUAAAAUGUGGUGAGAGGCAGCCCUUGCUGUUCACAUGCUGAUGCUUCCCUGGAUGGGUUUUAGGAAGGGAAGCAAAGAUCAAGGAAGGCCAUAUGGCAUUCCUUCCUAAAACAACAGGCUACCGCCAUUUAUUUCCCCUUGUCUAUCCCAGUCCUCAGCUGAUGCCGAGCUGGCCUCCUCAGGCCAAUUCUCAAACUCCAAGACAGCCAGGAACAGUACCCAUGGCAGUUGGCCACAGAGGUCAGGAAAAUGCCUGUCUCUCGCCAAUGAGCUGUCCACACUGGGCCUCGGGAGGGAUGUAAAAUGUCCGUACCCUGAAAGAUGGCCACAAGAGUUCCACAGCACACAACAGCUCAUUGGCUCUGUCUCAGUGUCAGAACCAUAGUGGUGAUGUCAGGAAAUAGCCAGCGACUUGGAGCCAAGGAUGCUUGCCCUACAGUGGCUUUGGGAGGCACAGCAGAAGGGCGACAUUGAGCAGGAGGUUGUCAGCAAGGCAGUUCUGCUCAGUGAGUGUCCUUGCAUGUUUUCACACAUGCUUUUCUCCUCCAACAUCCUGGCAUUCACACAGACCCAUGCUCCUUGGUCAUACAAGAGCCCUCACAGCCAAGUGUGCUUCGUAUAGAGCAAACACAGAGUAUGAGUGUUCACUGACCUACCUCAGUGUGCCUCUGACUGGGCAGCUACCACUCUGUGAGCAAAACAUGGCUCCUUCACUCUUCCCCUAGAUCCAUCCCAUACCUAGGUAGCUGCAGCUGUCACCUGUGUCCUCAGUCCUGCCAUCUAGAAGCCUUCUGGGAAGACAAAACAAAAGCAAAUACUGUUAACACUCUAGAUACAAAAAGAAAGUUAGAGCUCCCCAAGGGCUCUGCAGCUCUUUACUAUCAACUUCACAGCAGUGAGGGUCACAUCCUCCAGGUACUGUCCUCAGACUUGAGAAUCUCUUCUGGAUGGUGUGUACCAGGCUCAGUCCCAAUGCAAGGGCCUUGCACUCCCCAUGAGUGCCAUAGAGUCCUAAACACUGGGUUUGUGGGUCCCCCUUUCACCCUGCCCGCUAAAAUGAGAAGCCAUAUCCACAGCUCAUGGGUUCACUGGUUGGGGCUCCACUUUUAUGCCUAGCAAACAAAUGAGUGGCAAAAAAAUGGGCAGGUUCCCCUGCACUUUGUAGCUAUAGGGAAGACCAGGUGCUGCUGGCAUAUCACUGAACCUAUCUCACGAAGCUCAGUGUAACCAUGACUUCUUUUUCUCCAGAAGUUGCCCUGGGGUUCACACACGAGGGGACAUGACAAGUUAGCCAACUCUGGGCUUUCCCAUAGAUAUCCUCUGUCCAUCUGGUCAAUGAUUUGCACAUAAAAUGAGCACAGAAAGUAGGCAAUGACCUUAGAAAGAAUUUGAUCAGUCUCACCUGGGCAUCUAGGGUGGGUGGGGUACAUUUUCUUUCCAAGUAGUUCAUAGUGGGACAUUAUGC
This 3266-nucleotide long non-coding RNA is filed under the name Mus musculus (house mouse). RNAcentral's name for it is "long non-coding RNA chr13:72264551-72267817". The record is from RNAcentral. Lineage: Eukaryota; Metazoa; Chordata; Mammalia; Rodentia; Muridae.